This 538-nucleotide ribosomal RNA is filed under the name uncultured bacterium. RNAcentral describes it as "bacterial SSU rRNA". It matches the Rfam family "Bacterial small subunit ribosomal RNA", at positions 1 to 518 of the family's 1533-position model. The record is from RNAcentral.
ACGUACGUCGUACGAGGAGUUAGUUAGUACGUAUGGCUCGAGGACGAACGCUGGCGGCGUGCCUAACACAUGCAAGUCGAGCGGAGAUGAUGUGAGGAAGUUUCGGAUGGAAUCACAUUAUUUAGCGGCGGACGGGUGAGUAACGCGUGAGCGACCAACCUUGCACAGGGGGAUAACGGACCGAAAGGUUCACUAAUACCGCAUGAGACCACGGUGUUGCAUGACACAGGGGUCAAAGGAGCAAUCCGGUGCAAGACGGGCUCGCGUCCGAUUAGGUAGUUGGUGGGGUAAUGGCCCACCAAGCCUAUGAUCGGUAGCCGACCUGAGAGGGUGAUCGGCCACAUUGGAACUGAGAUACGGUCCAAACUCCUACGGGAGGCAGCAGUGGGGAAUAUUGGGCAAUGGGGGGAAAAACCCCCUGACCCAGCAACGCCGCGUGAAGGAAGAAGGUUUUCGGAUUGUAAACUUCUGUCCUUGGUGAAGAGAAGAAGACGGUAGCCAAGGAGGAAGCCCCGGCUAACUACGUGCCAGCAGCCGC